GCCACUUUAGCUCAGUUGGUAGAGCAACGGUUUUGUAAACCGUCGGUCGUCAGUUCGAGUCUGACAAGUGGCUCCA
RNAcentral lists this transfer RNA (76 nucleotides) under Minisyncoccota bacterium. RNAcentral describes it as "tRNA-Thr". It matches the Rfam family "tRNA". From Rfam's summary of the family: Transfer RNA (tRNA) molecules are approximately 80 nucleotides in length. Their secondary structure includes four short double-helical elements and three loops (D, anti-codon, and T loops). Lineage: Bacteria; Bacillati; Minisyncoccota. The record is from RNAcentral.